Molecule: ribosomal RNA, 438 nt
Filed under: uncultured bacterium
Lineage: Bacteria
Description: partial 16S ribosomal RNA
Rfam family: Bacterial small subunit ribosomal RNA
Source: RNAcentral
CGGGGCGCAGCAGCAGUGGGGAAUAUUGCACAAUGGGGGAAACCCUGAUGCAGCAACGCCGCGUGGAGGAUGACGCAUUUCGGUGUGUAAACUCCUUUUAUAUAGGAAGAUAAUGACGGUACUAUAUGAAUAAGCACCGGCUAACUCCGUGCCAGCAGCCGCGGUAAUACGGAGGGUGCAAGCGUUACUCGGAAUCACUGGGCGUAAAGCGCGCGCAGGCGGCCUUUUAAGGUGGAUGUGAAAGCCUAUGGCUUAACCAUAGAACUGCAUCCAAAACUAUCAGGCUAGAGUCUGGGAGGGGAAGAUGGAAUUAGUUGUGUAGGGGUAAAAUCCGUAGAGAUAACUAGGAAUACCAAAAGCGAAGGCGAUCUUCUGGAACAGUACUGACGCCGAGGCGCGAAAGCGUGGGAGCAAACAGGAUUAGAUACCCUAGUAGUC